RNAcentral lists this ribosomal RNA (630 nucleotides) under uncultured Lachnospiraceae bacterium. Its description in RNAcentral is "bacterial SSU rRNA". It matches the Rfam family "Bacterial small subunit ribosomal RNA", at positions 59 to 702 of the family's 1533-position model. Lineage: Bacteria; Bacillati; Bacillota; Clostridia; Lachnospirales; Lachnospiraceae. The record is from RNAcentral.
AAGUCGAACGAGCGAGAGAGAGCUUGCUUUCUCGAGCGAGUGGCGAACGGGUGAGUAACGCGUGAGGAACCUGCCUCAAAGAGGGGGACAACAGUUGGAAACGACUGCUAAUACCACAUAAGCCCACGACCCGGCAUCGGGUAGAGGGAAAAGGAGCAAUCCGCUUUGAGAUGGCCUCGCGUCCGAUUAGCUAGUUGGUGAGGUAACGGCCCACCAAGGCGACGAUCGGUAGCCGGACUGAGAGGUUGAACGGCCACAUUGGGACUGAGACACGGCCCAGACUCCUACGGGAGGCAGCAGUGGGGAAUAUUGCACAAUGGGGGAAACCCUGAUGCAGCGACGCCGCGUGGAGGAAGAAGGUCUUCGGAUUGUAAACUCCUGUUGUUGAGGAAGAUAAUGACGGUACUCAACAAGGAAGUGACGGCUAACUACGUGCCAGCAGCCGCGGUAAAACGUAGGUCACAAGCGUUGUCCGGAAUUACUGGGUGUAAAGGGAGCGCAGGCGGGAAGACAAGUUGGAAGUGAAAUCCAUGGGCUCAACCCAUGAACUGCUUUCAAAACUGUUUUUCUUGAGUAGUGCAGAGGUAGGCGGAAUUCCCGGUGUAGCGGUGGAAUGCGUAGAUAUCGGGA